Molecule: long non-coding RNA, 1784 nt
Organism: Dromaius novaehollandiae (emu)
Lineage: Eukaryota; Metazoa; Chordata; Aves; Casuariiformes; Dromaiidae
Exons: 3
Source: RefSeq, a predicted model, not a curated record
GGCCGGUAACGGAAAGGCCGCCCUGUGGGUCCGACCGGUGCGGGAGCCUCUGAGCGCAGGGCGGCAAGUGUUUAAGGAAGGGAAAGUUAACGUAGGGCUUGUGUGAAGUCACACGAAUCCGGUCUGGUCAUCGUCGGUUUGAGGAGGUCAGUGUGUGCUUGCUAUGGAUAAGGACAAGCAGUGAGCCUGUGAUGUAGAGAGAGCGAAGGCACUUUGAUCUCGGCUCCCCGUUCUCCUGAACAGGUUGGAAGCCAGGACUGACUUCUGGAUGCCAAGUUAGAAAUAAUUGCCUGAGUGAAAACUCAGGGAGGAGUGCGUUCACGCAGCUGCCAUGAAGGCUCCGGCCAGAGGAGAUACAGCCCUGAGCAGAUUUCAUUUUCUUUUUCAUGUUCUCUGGUCUUACUAAGCCUAAUAUCUACACAGACGUGUAUUUAUUUACAGACAUAGAACACAUCCUCAUCAAACGAUCUUUGGGCACAUGUUCAAAAGUAGUAAAAAUGGCCACUACAGCUACUAAUGCUUAGCAGUUUUUAUCAGAGGCACUAAAAGUGCUUGGACAUGAUAAGCUGCUACAAUCUCCUUGUCACAGACGUGGAAAGGAAGUCACAGAGCAGUUAGAUGAAGAACCCUAGUUUAUAGACUUUACCAUAAAAGACUUCUCCAAAUCUGAAGGCAACUCAGUAGCAUGGGUGAAAUUAAAAAGAGUAGCUGGCUCUAGUCCUUUGCUCUAACCACCAUCCCAAAUGCAUCUCACAUGACCCACCACUCUACUCAUUUCUAACGUACAGCUCCCAACAUAAGUUUCCGGUAUGUAAUGCACCAAAACAUCUUUUUAAAUGAUGGCAAAUGUAGCCAUUACUCAAGUCUGCUCUUGAGUGAUAGCUUUAUCUGUUCUGUCCCUAUUGCCAGAAGGAUACAGUGUGGUCUUGCAGCCUCUCUGGACAAGGUAAUAACAGAGAGUUGCUUCAUCAAAGCUCUUCCCUGGAGGGAUGAAAUCUAAAAUCUUUGUUUUUAGUGGAACAGACGACUAUCUCCAAAGGCAUAGCAGGCGUCAGAAUACAAUGCUUCUGAGCUCUGUGCACCAAAGGUCAGGCAGUGUUUAAUCCUGGGGGUGACCUCAUGGACCUCAAGAGAAUUUCAUCAAGGACAUAGUUAGUCUGUAUUUUGCAAUAAUCUGUAGGAAAUAAGCUUGGCAUUUCAGAGAUAAAAUUCACAGGCAGUACCAUUUCAGUCACCCAGUGUGGUUUGUAAAGGGGAUUUCUCUGGCUGUUUAUUGCUAAAACAGGCUGAUGUUCAAAAUUGAAACUUUCAGUCCUUACUCAGGCAAAACUUGCACAGAAUCCGGUAGGAACACUGCCUAGAGCAGAGCAAAAUAAAAGCCGGAGGAGCUGGUGCUGUGUUAUUUGGCUCAUGCUGCAAAACUUCAGUAAAUUUGUCACUAGCAAGUAAAGUGAGCAGUUUUGACAGCUUUUAUUGUAUUGAAUUACAGUGACAAAUAGGGGCAUUGAUUUGCAGAACCUUUGAAAGCAUUGUAAAUACAAUCCUAAUGAAAAAAAUGUUUCUUUUUAUUUGACAGAACUCCACUGCUCUUUCUGGUGCACACCCUGGGUGCACCAACAAAAAUAAAAGACCUGGUUAUUUGAAGCAAAAUUCCUGAAAUAUUGUUCUCUAAAUCUCUAAGCUUUCACUUAUUACUUUUUAUUCUGAGAAGUAUUCGAUGAUUUUACUGUCCACAAAAGCUGUAACAGUAAUAAAAAAAUAAAAUUGUUAGUGCUAAGACAGAA